UACGUAGGGUGCGAGCGUUGUCCGGAAUUACUGGGCGUAAAGAGCUCGUAGGUGGUUUGUCGCGUUGUUCGUGAAAACCGGGGGCUUAACCCUCGGCGUGCGGGCGAUACGGGCAGACUGGAGUACUGCAGGGGAGACUGGAAUUCCUGGUGUAGCGGUGGAAUGCGCAGAUAUCAGGAGGAACACCGGUGGCGAAGGCGGGUCUCUGGCAGUAACUGACGCUGGAGGAGCGAAAGCGUGGGAGC
Molecule: ribosomal RNA, 245 nt
Filed under: uncultured bacterium
Lineage: Bacteria
Description: partial 16S ribosomal RNA
Rfam family: Bacterial small subunit ribosomal RNA
Source: RNAcentral